This 271-nucleotide transfer RNA is filed under the name Echinocyathula lanceolata. RNAcentral describes it as "Cyathula lanceolata transfer RNA". The record is from RNAcentral. Lineage: Eukaryota; Viridiplantae; Streptophyta; Magnoliopsida; Caryophyllales; Amaranthaceae.
GGGGAUAUGGCGAAAUCGGUAGACGCUACGGACUUUAUUAUAUUAUUAUGAAUAUGAAAAAAUAAAAGAAUUUUUACGAAUCAAUUUCAAGUAUUCAUUUAUCAAAUCAUUCACUCCAUAGUCUGAUAGAUCUUUUGAAGAGCUGAUUAAUCGGAUAAGAAUAAAGAUAGAGUCCCAUUCUACGUGUCAAUACUGACAAGAAUGAAAUUUAUAGUAAGAGGAAAAUCCGUCGACUUUAAAAAUCGUGAGGGUUCAAGUCCCUCUAUCCCCA